AUACGGAGGAUCCGAGCGUUAUCCGGAUUUAUUGGGUUUAAAGGGAGCGUAGAUGGAUGUUUAAGUCAGUUGUGAAAGUUUGCGGCUCAACCGUAAAAUUGCAGUUGAUACUGGAUAUCUUGAGUGCAGUUGAGGCAGGCGGAAUUCGUGGGGUAGCGGUGAAAUGCUUAGAUAUCAAGAAGAACUCCGAUUGAGAAGGCAGCCUGCUAAGCUGCAACUGGCAUUGAGGCUCGAAAGUGUGGGUAUCAAACAGGAUUAGAUACCCUGGUAGUCCACACGGUAAACGAUGAAUACUCGCUGUUUGCGAUAUACAGCAAGCGGCCAAGCGAAAGCGUUAAGUAUUCCACCUGGGGAGUACGUCGGCAACGGUGAAACUCAAAGGAAUUGACGGGG
Molecule: ribosomal RNA, 393 nt
Filed under: uncultured bacterium
Lineage: Bacteria
Description: partial 16S ribosomal RNA
Rfam family: Bacterial small subunit ribosomal RNA
Source: RNAcentral